RNAcentral lists this ribosomal RNA (477 nucleotides) under uncultured bacterium. RNAcentral describes it as "partial 16S ribosomal RNA". It matches the Rfam family "Bacterial small subunit ribosomal RNA", at positions 29 to 507 of the family's 1533-position model. The record is from RNAcentral.
AUGAACGCUGGCGGCGUGCUUAACACAUGCAGGUCGAACGGGAAUUAUUUUAUUGAAACUUCGGUCGAUUUAAUUUAAUUCUAGUGGCGGACGGGUGAGUAACGCGUGGGUAACCUGCCUUAUACAGGGGGAUAACAGUCAGAAAUGGCUGCUAAUACCGCAUAAGCGCACAGAGCUGCAUGGCUCAGUGUGAAAAACUCCGGUGGUAUAAGAUGGACCCGCGUUGGAUUAGCUGGUUGGUGGGGUAACGGCCCACCAAGGCGACGAUCCAUAGCCGGCCUGAGAGGGUGAACGGCCACAUUGGGACUGAGACACGGCCCAGACUCCUACGGGAGGCAGCAGUGGGGAAUAUUGCACAAUGGGGGAAACCCUGAUGCAGCGACGCCGCGUGAAGGAAGAAGUAUCUCGGUAUGUAAACUUCUAUCAGCAGGGAAGAUAGUGACGGUACCUGACUAAGAAGCCCCGGCUAACUACGUG